Phragmites australis (common reed) is the source of this 8687-nucleotide long non-coding RNA. RefSeq lists it as uncharacterized. The record is from RefSeq and is a predicted model, not a curated record. NCBI's taxonomy places the organism in Eukaryota, Viridiplantae, Streptophyta, Magnoliopsida, Poales, Poaceae. The transcript has 2 exons.
UUGGCUUUGGUCUAGUUUUCCUUUGUUUUGGGCUUGGGCCACGCAAAGCAUUUUGAGACCAACCGUUUGAUCACUAUCGGGCGGCCCGUAUUGGGUAGCGCACCGGCGGCGGCCGCCAGGGAGUACUGCCGCGCGCUGCUCGCCCCAUCCCCGACUCCGGCCUCCGCCACCGCCGGCCUCCGCCACCGCACCGCCGGGGAGCACUCCGGCGGCAGCACCACCACCUCCCGCGUACUCCUCUCCUGCCGCAAGAACAACGGCGGCCAGCGCCCGUCACCACGCUAUGCCGUACAGUAAACCGGCUCGAUGUUGGGGGAGCAAGGAAUGAAAGGAAGCAAAAGGAGGCGAUGAAGGGAGGCAGAAGCAGCGGUGAGCGGUUGAGUCCAUUCAUUACCUGCGGCCAUUUCCACCCUUCUCCUCUCUUAUGCUUCGAUUUAUUUGAUUUGGUAUGAUGUUAGCUUAGUUCUACGCGAUUUCCUAGACGGAGGAUAGGGUUGGAUUUCCUGUUGAUUUUUUUUUAAUGUGGUCACAAGCUCAUGAGUAGGAUGAGAUUGGUCAUUUGGCCCUUGGUUUAUUAGAUUAAUCGAUGAUGUCUGAUUAAUUACUACGUGAUUUUAAUGGGCUUUUGACCAAAAAAUGAUCAAAUGGUAGCCAGCUCGAACCAUGAUCUUUGUAACUUCACUGAUAUGUCAAAGUAGUUCACCUGAUCCAACACUCCGGCUUACACUCAACCCAAACUCACCUGGUACAAGCCUUAGCUGUUGUAAACUUACUGAAAUUAUGGCUCACAUGCAAACAAUGCAUUAACCUGGCAAAAUGUAGUUUAAGCUAGUCCAGGUCCCACCUAGUUUGACUGAAACAUGCAUGUUGUGCAUCGUUAUCUUUGAAUUACUCUGUUGUUCUUCAUAUAAACUCGUACUUGCCAAUUAGAUUAGUUCAUUUGGUUUUUGACUGGCAUAGAUUCCUUCAGACCUUCAGUAUGCUUUAUACAAGGCAUAAGUAACGGCCUGCUUUUUUUUUUUGCAUACAUUGCCAAUAAUAUAGAAAAGUUAGAAUUUAGAAGACUUCACCCACCAAUCAUUCCACCAGGAAGGGUAACAAUUGCCAAGGACCACAUAUAUCGAAUUAGCUGCAAAGUAGACACUGUUAGUGAAAUAACAACAACAACAACAAAGCCUUUGUCCCAAGAAAGUUGGGGUAGUUUAGAGAUGAAACCCACAAAAUCCAACUAAAAAGAUGAUGAGAAAAUAAUAAUGAUAAUAAAAGUACUAGUAAUAGUAAAAAAUAAACUAAUAACGGUACAAGGAGACUGUAGUAUAAGUUAUGGUUCUGGCACGUGGAUUGCUAACUUCCAUGCGCUUCUAUCCGUGGAUUGUUAGUGAAAUAACAAUAAAAUAAAAUAAACAUUCAACAAAAUAGCUUGAAAAUAAAUCAACUUGCUUGGGACAAAAGCUUUGUUGUUGUUGUUAUUGUAUUCAACAGAAGCGGACGGAAUUUAAUUGGGUAGCUUGAAAAUAAAUCAGAUAGAAGGUAACCUUAGAGAGUUCAUGGACUAUGGCCUCUUUAUUGCCUAUGUUGUUCCCAAUCACGUCAACAGUUUUCCCGAGUAUGUAAUACGGCAUUGAAGGCCCCAUGCCGUGUAUGAAGGAUCCCAUGGUCCCUGACACCAUGAGCAGCCAAUCUAGUGCAUUUGGCGUAGCAAAGCAGGCCAAAGAAUGGGAACGGAUUGUUUUCAGCCUCUGUUUCUGGCGCCGUCCAUACUGGUGAUGCACUUUUCUUGCCAUCCUCAAUGUUGAGUUCAGAUGGUUACGGGGUGAGCCUUCUCUUGGACGAGUGGCAUUGCUUUUGCUGAGCCUUGUGUUAUUUUGCAGAAGAGUAGCAGGCACUCUGAGCUUUAUAGUACCGGUAUGUUUUUAUAUGCACACUGACAACCAUAUAGCUACAAAUUGCAGGACAACUGUUGGUACUAUCAAGAUUAACAAUUAGUUACACCAGCCUGGAAUAAAACAAAAUUAGUGUACCGAUUGCGCAGUCUUAGCGUCUGCCAUUCUUAUUCAUGACCCAUUUUGCUGACAUGAUGCACCAUGUCAGACCUGCGUACUCAGACUUACAAGUAAAUUAUUUUAUGGGUGUUGUGUGUAACUUGAGUUAUAUAGUAUAAAAAUCACUUUGUCGAGAAACACUAAGCAUGAAUCUUUUGUUGUUGUAACCAAAUCGUAGGGCAUGAGGCAACUUUGUUUUCAUCUACAGACUACAUUAUUUUAGGCCAGCUACAAGUCUAAUCCAUAUUAGGCAUGCCAAAUAUGGUUAAAAAUACUCUAUUAGAAGCAGAUCUUACUCUUCAUAUUCCUAAGCCCUUCCAAAUUCCAAUUAAAUACAGUCUAGCUUCCUCGUAUAUAUACAUGUCUUGGAUGUUUCAGUUCCAUAAAAUAUUUCGAAAUUAGGUCUGCAAGACCAAGGUGUGUAGUAAUAAGCAAGGUAGUUUCUGUUGCAAAUCUACCCCACCCUCUAAGGUGAUAUGCCUGCAUGUUCAUGCACUUGUGAGAUUUGGUCUUUAUGGCCUCAUUCUCUGGAGUGUCGAUAUAGUCUCACGUAGUCAGAUCACCUUAUAUGCGCACUUGUGAGCACCCUGUAUCUUUAGGGAUGCAUAAUUAUAAAAGUCUCACAUCUCAACUUUAUUUUCCAUAGUCCUGCUGUGCCAAAUUUGGUAGUUUUAUUGUGUACAUGAUAUAUUUAAGGUAGCUAAAACUUCUUCAAGGCAAUUUUAUUGUUUUCUAUGGCAUAUUUACCUGAUUAAAAAUAUAUUUACAAGAUUAGAUUCUGCCAAGUCUUCAGCUAGUUUCUGAGGGAGGGAGGGAGCUUAGAUCAAGGUGUCUUCAACCCCUAAAAAAUGCCAAAACUACUUGAUGGAUCGCACAUAGGAACCAGCAUGUCCUGGUUCCCUGUGCUCUCUACUGGUGAUCUAGCUUCCCUGUUGGCUACACUUGUAUUGUGCAAGAAUAAUGAGCUGAGACAUGGUAGUGAAAGUGCUCCAAGUAGAAAACUGUUCUAGAAUGAGAUGGUUGACAAGUACCAAAUGUUAAGCUGGAAGGCAAUAGUACCUGAACUUUAACUCGUGGACUAUGCAUCAUCAAUAUACGAUGAGAUAGCUAUGUGAUUACGAUUUGUUAACUAUCAGAAAAUGCAUUUCAACAAUGCCAAAUCACCUAAAGCUAUUUUUGCUAAGUCUAUUUGUCCACCGUGGGAAUUGGUCAGAUAGCGGUCAAUCCUUCAUGUUGCUUUGCAAGUGGAACAACCUUGAGUAAACGCCAUCAUCUGCAGAGAUCAAUGUUUGGUGAUUACCAAGUUCUACCACCUUUCCUUUCUCCAUCACAAUUAUCAUAUCCGCAUUUAUGACUGUGGAUAAUCUAUGUGCAACUGUGAUACUUGUAAUCUUACUGGAUCGCUCAUCUUUGUUCUUCCAUUCCUUGGCCCCUAACGAACUCAUUACCACCCUCUCAGACUCACCAUCAAGUGCGCUGGUUGCCUCAUCAAGAAGCAGAAUGACUGGCCUCUUUAGUAGAGUUCUUGCGAUGGCGAUCCGCUGUUUUUGCCCUCCUGAAAGUUGGCUUCCUUUCUCUCCAACAACUGUGUCAUACCCUUCUGGCAGGCCACUGAUGAACUCGUGAAUGUUUGCCUCCAUUGCAGCCUGGAUGAUUUCAGUCUCUGAAAUGCCUUCACUUCCAUAACUAAUGUUAUCUCUGAUGGAUGUAUUGAACAAGAUUGGUUCUUGUUGAACUAGCCCAAUUCGCUUCCUGAGCCAUCUGAGAUUGUAGUCCCUUAUGUUCUUGUUGUCAAUUAGCACUCUACCUCUGUAAGGAUCAUAGAAUCUCAGCAUUAGAGCCAGAACAGAGGAUUUUCCAGCACCACUUGGGCCAACCAAUGCCACUCUUUGGCCAGGUUCAAUUACUAGAUUGAAGCCAUCCAGAAUUGCCACCUCUGGCCUCGAUGGAUAGUUGAAGCUCACAUCCUGAAACUCAGUUCUCCCCACGAUCAAGGCUUCACUUGGAUUUUCAGGUUUAUCUGGCACAAUUUGUGUCUCUCUAUCAAGCGUGUCAAAUGCAGGAUUCAGUAUUGCAAUGGCUGACAUGACCAUGGGAAUGAGGGUCCAUAACUCUGUGAUAGAAGGUACUGUGAGUGAGAAUAUCUGGUAUGAUCUUAUGCUGUUCUCAAAUGAAGCUUGCUUCCUCUGAACCAGAACUGUGGUGUACCAAAGUGCCACAGCAUGUGCAAUAUUCCAGAGGCACAGUGAGAUCCCUUGGAUCACCCCAUACUUCAUGCUUUCAAUCUUGGUAAUUCUCAUGGGUUCUUGCAGCGACAAUUCUGCUUUCUUAAUUAUUUCAUCUUCGUAAACAAAAGAUGCCACAGUUCGGAUGUUGCUAGCCGCCUCUGAAGCAAGGGAGACAAGUUCCCGGUGAGCGAUAGCAGAGUCGCCAUAGAAUCCUUUGGCUGACUUGGCUUGAAUAAGGCCACCAAUGAAAUGGCAUGGCAUGACUGCCCAUGAUACCAAACCCAUUCUCCAAUUGACAUACAUGCUUACUAUUGUUGCUAUCAGAAUUGAACAGAUGCAUUGUACAAUUACUGCCAUUCUAUCAGAUAUGAUGGUUUUGACUGUUGAGGUGUCACUGACAAUGCGCGAGGUAAGAAAUCCUACACCAUUCUUUGGUUUCUCAAACCAACUAAGCUCAUUUCGGAGAACAGCUGCAUUGCAUUGAAACCAAAAAAAAUUAAACAUAUUGUUAACAAUGAAAGGAAUGUAAUGUUGACCAUCGUGACAUAUUGAAGUGACUGAUGAACAAAGUUUUUAUGUAAAAUACCUGAAAAGAGGGCCUCUCUUAGGUUUUUCGUUGCCUUCUCUCCAACAACACCAUAAAUGUAAUGCUGCAGGAUGUUACUGACCAGUGUGACCAUCCCAGCUGUGAAGAAUAUCAAAGAAUACUUGCUGACUUUUCUUUUUGCAUCUGUAUCAUAAUAUGCCACACCAAUUGUCAUGAUGAAGUAACCAAACAAGGGCUUUGAGAUUCCAGAGAUGGCUGCUGCUGAGGAGCCUAAUAGAAUCUUUAUAAUGUCGUCUUUACGCAGUCCAUACCAAAGUCUAAAGAAAGGGUGUGUUUCCUUUCCAUCAUCUUGCUUUGGUUGUUUCAAGUUCACUCUUUCUUGCUUAUUUUUUGGUUCCUGCUUCUUAGAGGACUGCCUGAUGUAUGCUUCAUCGAUUUGUUCCUCCAUUACAUUGUCAGAAGUUCUGUUUAAUCAAUCAAAAUAAAAUAUUAAGUUAUGAUGAAGCAAUCGCACUUAUAUAUAGUAUCAUUAAACUUCCCUACCAUAGAUUUCAUAUGUAUUCCAUAGAUCUUUUGCAAUUUCUAGUUCUUUCAGCACCUUUUGUUACAGGGAGUCUCAUAUUGAUUUCAAACUGUUCACUUCCAUUUUGGAAAAAUCUUCAGUAAGGGGUCCUAAAGUACCACCCCACGCAACAUUAUACUGAAGAAUUUGAUAACGGAGUAUAAAACAUUGAUCAUGUAAAGCUUUGCACUGGUUGAAUUCAACUUUACCUCGCUGCCUUCUUUCCAGCUUCCUUCUCUAUAUUUUGCAUGCUGCAUACAUUGGAGUAGAAUGUGUUUUUCUCUAGCAACUCUUGAUGUGUCCCAGUUUGCGCUACUCGUCCAUUCUCCACGACUACAAUGGUGUCAGCAUUUACAAUUGUGGACAUCCUGUGGGCUAUCAAGAUAACAGUCCUUCCGUGCAUGGCUCUCUCAAGAGCAUCCUGAACUAGCUUUUCUGAUUCUGAAUCAAGGGCACUUGUUGCUUCAUCGAGAAGGAGGAUCGGUGGAUCCUUCAUCAUUGCCCUUGCAAUUGCUAUUCUUUGUUUCUGGCCUCCGGACAACUGCACACCCCUUUCUCCUACCUGAACCAAUUAAAAAUAUUGUAAGGCACAACAUGAGCCCCUUUAGCUUUAGGGAGGGUGGGCAUGUGGCCCUAUGCACACAGAGUAUUUUCCGAUAAAUCAAAUAUUAUGGACCAUCAGUAUUCAGUGAUCCUCCAAUAGGAAUGAAUUGCAACUAUUUGGACUUUCAAAACGGAUGUUCAUGCUAAAGUGACUUGUGUAUUUAUAUAAUCAUAAUUAUCUUUUAACAGUUAAUUUCCUUUCUGACAUAAGAUUAUUGCCAAAUUGGUAAUCAUGACAUGGAAAGUUUUUCAGUUGUCAUGAUCAAAAUAGUACCCUAUUUCUUUCUUUAAUCUAACUCAGAAGGGUAUUUUGUCUUCUCAUAACCACAACCAUGAUUGUAGACAUGAAUUUUCAAGAUGUUGGACAGGUUUCCAGUCGCAUAUACAAAAAAUGGAUCAAUGCCUCAAUCUUUAAUGCAUUUCUCUAGUGAACACAGUAAGUACCUCUGUUGAGUAUUUGUUGGGAAGUUUGGAUAUGAACGAAUGCACAUUAGCUGUCGUUGCUGCUUCAAUUAUCUCUUCAUCACUUGCAUCCAUUUUACCAAUCCUCAAGUUGUCCUUUAUAGUACCAGAAAAUAGUGAUGGUUCUUGGGAGACUGAAGCUAUAUUUCUUCUCAGGGAUCUGAGGUCAAUUUCCUUGAUAUUGUGACCGUCAAUGAAUAUUUCACCUGCAUUAGUCCUUGUUACUUGAUUGAAACAUUUUAAAACUACUUUAUCUUGCAAUGACUAUUUGUGCUUCGUAGAUGUACAAUUCAUGACAAUCAUCUGACCUCAAUUUUCAUGAAAAUUUGGCAGAAACAAUAAAUAUUAUUGACUUAUCUUAUGCAUAUAGUUGCACUAGGCAGAUGGUACAAAGCUACCUGAGGUUGGAUCAUAGAACCUUUGAAGUAGUGAAAUAACAGUGCUCUUCCCACAGCCACUGCUCCCUACCAGAGCAACGACUUUGCCUGCAGGGAUUGACAACGAUAAUCCUUGGAGAAUCGGCUUAUCCUGGCGUGAGGGAUAGGCAAAAUGCACUCGACGCAAUUUGAUCUCUCCAUGAAUCUUCUCUAGUACUGCUCCAUGUUUUCCGUAACUUAUGGAUGGCUUUCUUUUGAUCACCUUGAAGACCUCUUUUCCUGCAGCUUUUGCUUGAUUAAAGGUCUGAAGGUCCGGUGCAGCAUAGGUAAUUGAUCUGAAUCCAUGUAGGAAGAACCAAUAAGUCUAGAAUGACGCAAAUUAAAAAAAAAUGCCAGUUGAUAGUGUGCUUUAUAUGAGUUGUGAUUUGAUUGUUUUUACAUCGACAAAUUAAAACUGUGACUUAACCAACGAGAGAGAUUGUACGAUUGUUACAUUGCACCAAAGAGGAUGCUCAUGAUGGCAGCUAUCGUGCCACCUCCUGUUGCUGCGUUUCUUGUUACUGCAACCGCCCCGAUCCAAACCAUCAGUGCCCAUGAACAAAAGGUCACUGCUUGGAGCAAGCCAAGCCCUAUUCCCUUUAUCAUUGCUUCCUUCUUGCUUAGUUUGAAUUGAUUUUCCAUGCACUGGACAAAGGACUUCAUGGCCCAGCUCUCCCCGACGAAGGAGAAGACAGUCUUGAUAUGCGACAAAGUCUGUGAACAAAUGUAUACUAGGACUAUGAACAUAAUGCAGUGGGAGAUUAUCUGUACUCCAACAUUUAUGUUUAUUCAAGUAACUUGGCCUGAGUUAUGAGUGCUAACUGAUCUCACAAUACCUGUUCUACAACAGAUGUUGCUUCUGAGACAAUAGCAUUGCGUGACAGUGAUACACCAUUCAUCUUUUUCAUGUAUGUUACUCCAAUGACGAGGAUCAGAGGAAUGAUCAGGAAGGAAAGCAUUGCGACUUCCCAGCAGCUGAUAAAUGCAAUUAUGAUUCCGGCAAAGAAAGUGGAGAAGCUUGCAACGAAAUGACCCAGCUGCAGAAAAGUGUGCUUAUAUGAAAGUUUGACCACAGAAUGUCAGAAGUUUGCUCCAUAUGAUUGUGGAAUCCAUUAGACUAUUACCUUUUCACCAAUUGCAUCUUGUAUGACACUCAUGUGGCUGGUUACUCCGGUGAUGAUGGUUGCAGUUGUCAAGUCAGUGUCGAAGGCCCCAACCUCUUGAUUAAGGACUGAUCUCAGAAAUGCUAUCCGCAUGCGUGCUAACUGUCUCUCACUUGAGUAUAUCCAGCAGGAUAUCUCUGCAGCGAAUUCAUCAGAGGAAAGGCUGCUGUUUGCAACGCGGAGGCGCACUGACAGCUGGUUGGUUACUCAGGUGGUUGUUUCUGACAAUGUUUGAAUUGGACAAUGCGAAACCAGUUUCUGAAAGAACCAAUUUGGUUUAUUCCCCGAAUUCUGUACAAAUGUCUCCCAGGCUGCAGCUUCACAAGCCUCAGAAUUCGGAAGGUCAAUUGGAAGCUAGAAAGGAAACACUUUUUCGCUGGAGAUCUGGAUUGCUUCUGUUGGAUUCAUCUGCUAACCUGAUCAACUCUGGAAGAUGCUUCACACGUAGCAGCAGCAUAUGCUAGGUUUUUGUUUCUUCUCAGGGAUCAAGUGUUACCAUCGCAUAAUCCGUGUUAUCGCGUCAACAUCGUUCAUGGGAUAAGGGGAGAAUAUCCGGAUGCCAUGAAGACCACCAGGAAUGACUCGUUCAAAUGUCCUGUUAAAAAUUCAAAUCCCUCUAUCUCAUGUGUUUGUCCUCCAAUCAUCAGCCUUAUAUUAUUUUGCA